Molecule: ribosomal RNA, 253 nt
Filed under: uncultured bacterium
Lineage: Bacteria
Description: partial 16S ribosomal RNA
Rfam family: Bacterial small subunit ribosomal RNA
Source: RNAcentral
UACGUAGGUCGCAAGCGUUGUCCGGAUUUACUGGGCGUAAAGAGCGCGCAGGCGGCUGGUCAAGUCCAAUGUGAAAUCUCCCGGCUCAACUGGGAAACUGCAUCGGAAACUGAUCGGCUUGAAGAUGGGAGAGGGUAGUGGAAUUCCCGGUGUAGUGGUGAAAUGCGUAGAUAUCGGGAGGAACACCAGUGGCGAAGGCGACUACCUGGCCCAUUCUUGACGCUGAGGCGCGAAAGCUAGGGGAGCGAACGGG